GCGGAAGUAGCUCAGACGAAAGAGCGCCGGCCUACCACGCCGGAGGUCGCGGGUUUUAAGUCCCGUCUUCCGCU
RNAcentral lists this transfer RNA (74 nucleotides) under Dysgonomonas sp. 521. RNAcentral describes it as "tRNA-Gly". It matches the Rfam family "tRNA". Rfam says of the family: Transfer RNA (tRNA) molecules are approximately 80 nucleotides in length. The record is from RNAcentral. Lineage: Bacteria; Pseudomonadati; Bacteroidota; Bacteroidia; Bacteroidales; Dysgonomonadaceae.